RNAcentral lists this ribosomal RNA (253 nucleotides) under uncultured bacterium. Its description in RNAcentral is "partial 16S ribosomal RNA". It matches the Rfam family "Bacterial small subunit ribosomal RNA", at positions 524 to 776 of the family's 1533-position model. The record is from RNAcentral.
UACGAGAGGCCCAAACGUUAUUCGGAAUUACUGGGCUUAAAGAGUUCGUAGGCGGCGCAGAAAGUAGGGUGUGAAAGCCCUCGGCUCAACCGAGGAAUUGCGCUCUAAACUACUGUGCUUGAGGGACCUAGAGGUGAGUGGAAUUCCGAGUGUAGAGGUGAAAUUCGUAGAUAUUCGGAGGAACACCAGAAGCGAAGGCGGCUCACUGGCCCGAUACUGACGCUGAGGCGCGAAAGCGUGGGGAGCAAACAGG